This 253-nucleotide ribosomal RNA is filed under the name uncultured bacterium. Its description in RNAcentral is "partial 16S ribosomal RNA". It matches the Rfam family "Bacterial small subunit ribosomal RNA", at positions 524 to 776 of the family's 1533-position model. The record is from RNAcentral.
UACGGAGGGUGCAAGCGUUAUCAGGAUUUACUGGGUUUAAAGGGUGCGCAGGCGGAUAUGUAAGUCAGUGGUGAAAUCUCCGGGCUUAACCCGGAAACUGCCGUUGAUACUAUAUAUCUUGAAUGCUGUGGAGGUAAGCAGAAUAUGUCAUGUAGCGGUGAAAUGCUUAGAGAUGACAUAGAAUACCUAUUGCGAAGGCAGCUAGCUAAAGUAUGAUUGACGCUGAGGCACGAAAGCGUGGGGAGCAAACAGG